ACCGCAGGCCGCCUUAUCGCUGUUCCGUCAGGAAUGGAGGAAAGUCCGGGCACCAAAGGGCAGCAUAGCGGGUAACGCCCGUCACGUCGGUUCGCCGACGGAGGACAAGUGCAACAGAAAGUAUGUACAGUUCGGCUGUAGUGAAACCAGGUAAACUCUAUGCGGUGAAAUGCCAAGUAUACCGACAGUUAAGGGCGGCUCGCUCGUUGUCGGAGGGUAGGCAGAUAGAAUCGUGCAGCAAUGUCCGAUCCAGAUAAAUGAUAAGGCUUUCGUUUCGAGAGACAGAACCCGGCUUACAGGCCUGCUUUUUUU
This 312-nucleotide RNase P RNA is filed under the name Flavobacterium sp. Its description in RNAcentral is "RNase P RNA component class A". It matches the Rfam family "Bacterial RNase P class A". Rfam says of the family: Ribonuclease P (RNase P) is a ubiquitous endoribonuclease, found in archaea, bacteria and eukarya as well as chloroplasts and mitochondria. The record is from RNAcentral. Lineage: Bacteria; Pseudomonadati; Bacteroidota; Flavobacteriia; Flavobacteriales; Flavobacteriaceae.